AGCCAAUCCUAUCCUCCCCUCAGUCACGUACCAGUCGUCGCACAAAUCCUAGCCCCCAUUCCCCUCGAUCCCCACAGUCUCUCCGCUCCCGUCACCACGUCCUCCGCCAUGGAGCCUCGCCGCCACGUGCGUCUCCCUUCUCCACCAUGCUGCCCUUCCACCUCGCCUUCCUCCUCUUCUUUGUCUAUGCGGCCAUCGGUGGCGGCUGGUUCCAAAUCGGGCGCGGAUUAGCCGAGCCCGGUGGUGAGGUGAAGGAGAAGGGUGGGCGGCCCGUCGCGAUGGGAUGGGGCUAGGGAAGAGGGAGGAGGCCGAAGGGUGAAGGAGCAGGCCGGCCCUCACGGUCACAUAGGCGCCGCCGCUGUCCAGGGUCGUUCGCCGUCACCGGCCUCACUCGCCUCGUCUCCUAUCUCUUCACCACUGCAUCCAUGUGAAUUUUUGGAGAAUGGUGCUCCGAUUUGGUCCCCAUGCUGCAGGCCUGCAACAUUUAUAGAGGAGGAUUGCAGGUGUCGAUACAAUGGAGCAAUUUCUGGCUUUGUUGUUGGAGCAUAGCCUCGAUUAUGCAUGAUUUUGGGGAAAGUUCCUGGUGGUCCUAUCUCGGAUCAGUUCCUUUGCUUUCCUGCUAACCUUCUUUUCCUUCUUCAUCAGGUUUUGCUCUCUCCCUGUGUGCUACACAUUUCUGCUCUCCCCAGUAGCAAUUGGAUGUUAAUCUGCUAUGGGAAGCGGCGGUGCAUCAAGGUGCAAGGCAGCAACGACAUGUUCAUAGUACGCUAAAGGAUGAACUCCUACUUUUUCUGAUGCUAGCUCCUUGCUGCAGAUAUACCAGCCUGCUUACAUCUCCCAAGAUAUCCUCUUGGUCAAGGCAAUUGCACAUGAUGAAGCCACUCAUUUUAGUUGUAGGAUAUGAAUUGUGCUUAAACAUGAGUGCUCGCUCGCCGAACGUUGGCCCUCGGAUGAAUUCGACGCUUGAAUUGAGCUGACGAGCCCCAUGGGUGGAGCUGCAGGGGGUGAGAGGCGGAUAACAAUACGAGAAGGAGCAUGCCAUCGAGGAGUGCAAGCAGCGGCACUCCUCCGCAAUGGGGUAUGGCUGCAGGAUAGGGGACGUGGCCAACGACAGGAAGAAGGAGCAGGUCGUCGAGGACUACAAGCAGCAUGUUUCCUUUGACUGGAAGUCUGAAACUGAAGAUAGGGCAUAUUGUUUUGGUUCUGAGUGGCCGGAGAUAUUGUGGCUUGAUGUACCUAGAGCAGUCGGACCCUUCCAAGAUAGAAGAUCUUUGGGAUUGACGUUCUGAUGAGAAAGUAGCAUACGGAUGGAUGGACAUGAACUAUUCAGUGGUCGAACUGUGCUAUAUUUCUUUCAUUGAGGCGAGAGUGAUUCCAGUAGAUUUUGCUUGGCGUACUCGCCUUUUUUAUUAAAGUUGGGUGUCCGUCUUCUCUGCGGCAAGGAUCUGGGGAGUCAGAUUGUGGAUUACAUGUAGUGGGGAAGUAGAGAGGGGGACGAGGAAGAGGACACCGUUGGUGGCGUGCUAUAUCUCACUAGGCGACAAUGUCGAGAGGGUGCCUGGCAUCAAGAACCCGACAUGCUUUUCCGAGUGUUCGUUGAGGAAAUGACUUUAUUUAUUGGAAAAUGGCAAUAUCAUUUACAAGUACACAUGAAACAAACUAUUUUUCCUACACCUCUUUGUGUGAUGGUGCUCUUGGUUGAGUGUGCUGACGAAAGAGAUUCCAUGCUACAAGCUAGAUCUAUGCUGUCGCGGCAACACAGGCCAAUACACAUUCAGGAAAUAUGUCACCAACUUCCCCAAGGUCCCGCAUCGUCUACUCAGGAUAUUCUUUGCCCCAAGCCCUACAGAAUAAUGCCCAGUCUAAUUUCAGCAGUGGGCAUGACAGCCUCAAACUUCUCUCUUCAAUAUUGAAGAAGCGGCUUACUCAGAUCAAUGGGCAUGCACUUAGAAAAAUAGCUAAAGAGUACGAGAUAUUCCUAGAGUAAAUAAAGGGCAUGCUGUGCUCAUAAGUUAGCAGAAGCAAAAUGCUAUUUAUUAUGCUCCUGUUGUAUCCUCGGACAUUUUCUUCCACCUACCAAUACCCCAGUAUUGAAUAUCUACUUUCCCAGCGUCGUACAGAAACUGAUGUUAGUAUUUGUGCAUACUCUUUGUCUUAAGUGGGCUUUCUUUUAAAAAAGCAUGCCUUUAUGUUACCCAAAUAACAUAACAAAUUAUGCAUCCUCAAGUAUAUAUUUUUAA
Non-coding RNA from Aegilops tauschii subsp. strangulata, 2240 nucleotides. The record is from RefSeq and is a predicted model, not a curated record. Lineage: Eukaryota; Viridiplantae; Streptophyta; Magnoliopsida; Poales; Poaceae.